RNAcentral lists this ribosomal RNA (196 nucleotides) under uncultured bacterium. RNAcentral describes it as "partial 16S ribosomal RNA". It matches the Rfam family "Bacterial small subunit ribosomal RNA", at positions 326 to 539 of the family's 1533-position model. The record is from RNAcentral.
ACGCUCGACACCUACGAGGCAGCAGUGGGGAAUAUUGCACAAUGGGGGAAACCCUGAUGCAGCGACGCCGCGUGAGCGAAGAAGUAUUUCGGUAUGUAAAGCUCUAUCAGCAGGGAAGAAACUGACGGUACCUGACUAAGAAGCACCGGCUAAAUACGUGCCAGCAGCCGCGGUAAUCUGAGCGGGCUGGCAAGGC